This 1473-nucleotide ribosomal RNA is filed under the name uncultured bacterium. Its description in RNAcentral is "bacterial SSU rRNA". It matches the Rfam family "Bacterial small subunit ribosomal RNA". The record is from RNAcentral.
GAUGAACGCUGGCGGCGUGCCUAAUACAUGCAAGUCGAGCGAACAGACGAGGAGCUUACUCCUCUGACGUUAGCGGCGGACGGGUGAGUAACACGUGGAUAACCUACCUAUAAGACUGGGAUAACUUCGGGAAACCGGAGCUAAUACCGGAUAACAUGUUGAACCGCAUGGUUCAACAGUGAAAGACGGUCUUGCUGUCACUUAUAGAUGGAUCCGCGUCGCAUUAGCUAGUUGGUAAGGUAACGGCUUACCAAGGCAACGAUGCGUAGCCGACCUGAGAGGGUGAUCGGCCACACUGGAACUGAGACACGGUCCAGACUCCUACGGGAGGCAGCAGUAGGGAAUCUUCCGCAAUGGGCGAAAGCCUGACGGAGCAACGCCGCGUGAGUGAAGAAGGUCUUCGGAUCGUAAAACUCUGUUAUUAGGGAAGAACAAAUGUGUAAGUAACUAUGCACGUCUUGACGGUACCUAAUCAGAAAGCCACGGCUAACUACGUGCCAGCAGCCGCGGUAAUACGUAGGUGGCAAGCGUUAUCCGGAAUUAUUGGGCGUAAAGCGCGCGUAGGCGGUUUUUUAAGUCUGAUGUGAAAGCCCACGGCUCAACCGUGGAGGGUCAUUGGAAACUGGAAAACUUGAGUGCAGAAGAGGAAAGUGGAAUUCCAUGUGUAGCGGUGAAAUGCGCAGAGAUAUGGAGGAACACCAGUGGCGAAGGCGACUUUCUGGUCUGUAACUGACGCUGAUGUGCGAAAGCGUGGGGAUCAAACAGGAUUAGAUACCCUGGUAGUCCACGCCGUAAACGAUGAGUGCUAAGUGUUAGGGGGUUUCCGCCCCUUAGUGCUGCAGCUAACGCAUUAGGCACUCCGCCUGGGGAGUACGACCGCAAGGUUGAAACUCAAAGGAAUUGACGGGGACCCGCACAAGCGGUGGAGCAUGUGGUUUAAUUCGAAGCAACGCGAAGAACCUUACCAAAUCUUGACAUCCUCUGACCCCUCUAGAGAUAGAGUUUUCCCCUUCGGGGGACAGAGUGACAGGUGGUGCAUGGUUGUCGUCAGCUCGUGUCGUGAGAUGUUGGGUUAAGUCCCGCAACGAGCGCAACCCUUAAGCUUAGUUGCCAUCAUUAAGUUGGGCACUCUAAGUUGACUGCCGGUGACAAGCCGGAGGAAGGUGGGGAUGACGUCAAAUCAUCAUGCCCCUUAUGAUUUGGGCUACACACGUGCUACAAUGGACAAUACAAAGGGUAGCGAAACCGCGAGGUCAAGCAAAUCCCAUAAAGUUGUUCUCAGUUCGGAUUGUAGUCUGCAACUCGACUACAUGAAGCUGGAAUCGCUAGUAAUCGUAGAUCAGCAUGCUACGGUGAAUACGUUCCCGGGUCUUGUACACACCGCCCGUCACACCACGAGAGUUUGUAACACCCGAAGCCGGUGGAGUAACCUUUUGGAGCUAGCCGUCGAAGGUGGGACAAAUGAUUGGGGUG